Molecule: ribosomal RNA, 383 nt
Filed under: Gelastocoris flavus flavus
Lineage: Eukaryota; Metazoa; Arthropoda; Insecta; Hemiptera; Gelastocoridae
Description: partial 16S ribosomal RNA
Source: RNAcentral
UGGCUGCCAUGAUUAUUUUAUGGCUGCGGUAUUUUGACCGUACAAAGGUAGCAUAGUCAUUUGUCUUUUAAUUGAAGGCUUGAAUGAAGGGUCGGACGAGAAUUAUUCUUUCUUAAAUAUAAUUUAUUGAAUUUAAUUUUUUAGUUAAAAAGCUAAAAUUUUUUUAUAGGACGAGAAGACCCUAUAGAACUUUACAUUUUUAUUUAUAAUAAUUAUUUGGUUUAUUUUUAAUUUUUAUAAUUUAAUUUGUUUUGUUGGGGUGACAUUAAAAUUUUUAUAACUUUUAUUUCUUUUUUUCAAUAAUUAUUGUUUUUUUGAUCCAUAAAUUUUGAUUAUAAGAUUAAGUUACUUUAGGGAUAACAGGAAGCUUUUUUUAACAUAUG